AUAAGUAAGAAAUUAUUGACGCAGUCAACUGUCUUGGUCAACACCCCAGCCCAGGUGUGAAUCAACACUGGCACAUUAUAUCAAAAUUAAGGAUGGCGGCUGAAGCUCAUCUCCUAUGUAAACACCUAAAUGCCAAGUCUGGACUUCAAAAACAGAUUCUGAAAGUUUAACCAGCAUUAUGGACAGAAAGUAUACACUUCGAACAGACACAAAAACAUAUAGGUCCAUGCCAAGCUAUGAAAGAUUUAUGCUGAGGGUAAGUUCUAUUAUUAUAUAGAAUUUAAUUGUCAGACAUAUGGUUAU
Molecule: long non-coding RNA, 303 nt
Organism: Saccostrea echinata
Lineage: Eukaryota; Metazoa; Mollusca; Bivalvia; Ostreida; Ostreidae
Exons: 3
Source: RefSeq, a predicted model, not a curated record